AUAUGAGUCAUAUAGCUGACUCACACAAGAAUGGAAGUUGGAACCAUGAAAAAUGAUGGGUUUGAGGACUGUUUUGCUUUCACUCUAAUAUUUUUGCCUUUCGUAAAACUUACUUUUAUAUGUUCCAGGUGUUCUACCUUAUCGGCCUGCACAAAGUUGUUUUGACUUUACUUGCUCCAGGUCCACUCAUUAAAGUGUGUCUGUUUAAGUGGAUUUAGUCUUCCUUCACAUCUUGGGUAAUUUUUUGUACUAACAUAUAAUUGUUUAUGUUUCCUUUUAGUUUUCAAUCUAUUUGUGUUGGUUGGUUGACUAAAAGCUGUUAACAAAUUUGAUAAGAAUGUGUUGAGUUAUAUUAUCUUAUGCAUGUUUCCUAUGCAUAAGCUAUUUUUCAUUAGGUAGCUACAAUGAUACAAUUCUUUGAUGUUGAGAUGUACCGAUUUGAUGUUGCUUGCUAUUUCUUUAGCCAAUUUGAACACUGAUGUGAAAUAGCUGAUGUUUUUGCUAUUAUCAUGUCUGUAAUCAGAAUCACGUGUUGUUGCAGUUGUUAUACUGCUGGAUAUGCUCCAAGUGCUCCUGUCGCUGAGAAUCAAUCCUCUCCUCGAAGAUAUUAUGGCUAAGGAAAUGCUAGCAUUCCCAAGAUAACUUUAUUUAUCUCCCGGUGGCUUUAUAUAAAUGAUUGCAAAUAAGUAAGUAUAAUUUAAUUUAUAAGCUGUAAUAGUUAAUUGGAGAUAGGUUUGUUACUUCAUUGUCACUGGAUAUAUUUGAUAGGCAAAAA
Molecule: long non-coding RNA, 775 nt
Filed under: Brassica napus (rape)
Lineage: Eukaryota; Viridiplantae; Streptophyta; Magnoliopsida; Brassicales; Brassicaceae
Description: long non-coding RNA (BNAP_LNC019910)
Source: RNAcentral